UCCUGGCUCAGAACGAACGCUGGCGGCGUGGAUAAGACAUGCAAGUCGAACGAGAGAAUUGCUAGCUUGCUAAUAAUUCUCUAGUGGCGCACGGGUGAGUAACACGUGAGUAACCUGCCCCCGAGAGCGGGAUAGCCCUGGGAAACUGGGAUUAAUACCGCAUAGUAUCGAAAGAUUGAAGCAGCAAUGCGCUUGGGGAUGGGCUCGCGGCCUAUUAGUUAGUUGGUGAGGUAACGGCUCACCAAGGCGAUGACGGGUAGCCGGUCUGAGAGGAUGUCCGGCCACACUGGAACUGAGACACGGUCCAGACACCUACGGGUGGCAGCAGUCGAGAAUCAUUCACAAUGGGGGAAACCCUGAUGGUGCGACGCCGCGUGGGGGAAUGAAGGUCUUCGGAUUGUAAACCCCUGUCAUGUGGGAGCAAAUUAAAAAGAUAGUACCACAAGAGGAAGAGACGGCUAACUCUGUGCCAGCAGCCGCGGUAAUACAGAGGUCUCAAGCGUUGUUCGGAA
This 512-nucleotide ribosomal RNA is filed under the name uncultured bacterium. RNAcentral's name for it is "bacterial SSU rRNA". It matches the Rfam family "Bacterial small subunit ribosomal RNA", at positions 17 to 550 of the family's 1533-position model. The record is from RNAcentral.